This 54-nucleotide transfer RNA is filed under the name Tubulipora flabellaris. RNAcentral describes it as "tRNA-His". The record is from RNAcentral. Lineage: Eukaryota; Metazoa; Bryozoa; Stenolaemata; Tubuliporida; Tubuliporidae.
AGUAAAUAGUUUAAAUAAAAUAUAAGUUUGUGGGACUUAAGAUAAAUUUUACUU